This 1932-nucleotide ribosomal RNA is filed under the name Triticum aestivum (bread wheat). Its description in RNAcentral is "partial small subunit ribosomal RNA". The record is from RNAcentral. Lineage: Eukaryota; Viridiplantae; Streptophyta; Magnoliopsida; Poales; Poaceae.
AUGGCAGCUACGGUUACCUUUGUGACUCUCCUCCACCUGCUCCUCCCCCUGCUCCUCCCCCUGCUGCAUGUUGUCACCACCAUCACGUUGAACAUCACCAAUCAAUGUUCCUACACCGUGUGGCCGGCCGCUGUACCGGUGGGCGGCGGCAUGCCGCUGGACCCAGGGAAGACAUGGACCCUCAAGGUGCCCGAUUCUUCCACCACCAACAUUUGGGCACGAACAGGCUGCUCAUUUGAUAGCGGAGGCAACGGGUCGUGCCAGACAAGCGACUGCGACGGCAUGCUCGCUUGCAAGAGGUAUGGUCAGCCGCCCACCACGACUGCUAAUUUCGAACUCCUCCAUCUUUACGCCAACACUUUCUUCUAUAUUUCCCUCUUCUACGGCUUCAAUGUACCCAUGGAGAUCCUGCCAGUGCCAGUCGAGUGGAAAAAAAGAUCAGGGUGCAGCAAGGGGCCGCGCUGUGCUGCCAACAUCACAUCGCAGUGUCCGAUCGAGCUCAAGGUGCCCGGAGGCUGCAAGAGCUCAUGUGAAGUGUUCACGAAUCAGUCCUAUUUGUACUGCUGCUCUGGGGACGGAUGUUUACCCGAUAAAUACUCGGCCUAUUUUGUGCAGAUGUGCCCGGAGGCAAUAAGUUUCUCUGAAUAUUCUCCCUCGCAAGCUGCAUUCAGUUGUCCGAGAGAUACCAACUACAUGGUAGUCUUCUGCCCACCAAUCGAUCUACCCUCUUCGCCGGCUCCAAGUCCUGCUUCAACUGCUAUUGGGCCAUCAAGCACAGGACCCUCAUCCAGAAAAGUAGACAUAGUUGUUCCGAUUGCAAUUGUAGCUUCCAUAGUUAGUUUCAUUUUCAUUGUCGCAUUCGUCCUUUUCGUCAUACAUCAAAGAAGGACACGACGACGCCAUGAGAUGGAGGAAGAGGAGGCAGAGUUUGGUAAGCUACAAGGAACACCAAUGAGGUUCACGUUUCAACAGUUAGAAGUAGCGACCGAGCAAUUCAAAGGCAAGCUUGGGGAAGGAGGAUUUGGGUCUGUUUUCAAGGGACAGCUAGGUGAGGAAAGGGUUGCAGUAAAAUGUUUGGAUCGAGCUGGUCAGGGAAACAGAGAAUUUUUGGCAGAGGUUCAAACAAUAGGCAGCAUUCAUCAUAUCAAUCUAGUGAGGCUGUUUGCUUUCUGUGCUGAGAAAUCCCACAGGCUCUUGGUAUACGAGUAUAUGCCCAAAGGAUCCUUGGAUAGGUGGAUCUAUUGUCGACCUGACGAUGAUGCUCCUCCUCUAGAUUGGAGCACACGAUGCAAGAUAAUCACUAACAUAGCUAAGGGUCUCUCUUAUCUUCAUGAGGAAUGCGUGAAGAGAAUUGCUCAUUUGGAUGUCAAGCCACAAAACAUCCUCAUAGAUGACAACUUCAAUGCCAAAAUUUCUGAUUUUGGCCUAUGUAAGCUCAUUGAUAGGGAUAUGAGCCAAGUGGUUACUAGAAUGAGAGGGACACCUGGAUACUUAGCUCCUGAAUGGUUGACAUCACAAAUCAUAGAGAAGGCUGACGUUUAUAGCUUUGGCAUUGUGGUCAUGGAAAUCAUCAGUGGAAGAAAGAACCUCGACACUUCCUAGUCUGAAGAGAGCAUCCAUCUUAUUACUCUACUGGAAGAAAAGGUGAAGAACGGUUACUUGGUAGACUUGAUGGACAAGAGCAGUAACGACAUGCAAGCACAUGAGCAAGACAUAAUUCAGAUGAUGAAGCUCGCCAUGUGGUGUUUGCAGAUUGACUUCCAAAGAAGGCCUAAAAUGUCAGAGGUAGUCAAAGUCUUGGAAGGUAGCAUGGAUGCUGAGAGCAAUAUAGAUCAUAACUUUGUUGCAACAAAUGAAGCAAAUUUCUAUAUUGCUGGAAAUGUGAAAUCCUCUGCUCCACCUAUAGCCUCAGAUCUAUCAGGUCCCAGGUGA